AGUGAACGCUGGCGGUAGGCCUAACACAUGCAAGUCGAACGGCAGCACAGUAAGAGCUUGCUCUUACGGGUGGCGAGUGGCGGACGGGUGAGGAAUACAUCGGAAUCUACUUUUUCGUGGGGGAUAACGUAGGGAAACUUACGCUAAUACCGCAUACGACCUACGGGUGAAAGCAGGGGAUCUUCGGACCUUGCGCGAUUGAAUGAGCCGAUGUCGGAUUAGCUAGUUGGCGGGGGAAAGGCCCACCAAGGCGACGAUCCGUAGCUGGUCUGAGAGGAUGAUCAGCCACACUGGAACUGAGACACGGUCCAGACUACUACGGGAGGGAGCAGUGGGGAAUAUUGGACAAUGGGCGCAAGCCUGAUCCAGCCAUACCGCGUGGGUGAAGAAGGCCUUCGGGUUGUAAAGCCCUUUUGUUGGGAAAGAAAAGCAGCAGGUUAAUACCCCGCUGUUCUGACGGUACCCAAAGAAUAAGCACCGGCUAACUUCGUG
RNAcentral lists this ribosomal RNA (492 nucleotides) under uncultured bacterium. RNAcentral's name for it is "partial 16S ribosomal RNA". It matches the Rfam family "Bacterial small subunit ribosomal RNA", at positions 29 to 507 of the family's 1533-position model. The record is from RNAcentral.